Molecule: ribosomal RNA, 919 nt
Filed under: uncultured Ascomycota
Lineage: Eukaryota; Fungi; Ascomycota
Description: eukaryotic LSU rRNA
Rfam family: Eukaryotic large subunit ribosomal RNA (bases 275-919)
Source: RNAcentral
AUCGAUGAAGAACGCAGCGAAAUGCGAUAAGUAAUGUGAAUUGCAGAAUUCAGUGAAUCAUCGAAUCUUUGAACGCACAUUGCGCCCUCUGGUAUUCCGGAGGGCAUGCCUGUUCGAGCGUCAUUACAACCCUCAAGCUCUGCUUGGUAUUGGGCCUCGGGCGUCAGCCCGUGCCCUAAAAUCAGUGGCGGUGCCAUCUGGCUCUAAGCGUAGUAAAUUCUCUCGCUAUAGACGUCUGGUGGAUGCUUGCCAAAACCCCCAAUUUUUUACAGGUUGACCUCGGAUCAGGUAGGGAUACCCGCUGAACUUAAGCAUAUCAAUAAGCGGAGGAAAAGAAACCAACAGGGAUUACCUCAGUAACGGCGAGUGAAGCGGUAACAGCUCAAAUUUGAAAUCUGGGUCUUUUAGACUCCGAGUUGUAAUUUGUAGAAGAUGCUUCGGGUGUGGCUCCGGUCUAAGUUCCUUGGAACAGGACGUCAUAGAGGGUGAGAAUCCCGUAUGUGAUCGGUCGCCUAUGCCCAUGUGAAGCUCUUUCGACGAGUCGAGUUGUUUGGGAAUGCAGCUCAAAAUGGGUGGUAAAUUUCAUCUAAAGCUAAAUAUUGGCCAGAGACCGAUAGCGCACAAGUAGAGUGAUCGAAAGAUGAAAAGCACUUUGGAAAGAGAGUUAAACAGUACGUGAAAUUGUUGAAAGGGAAGCGCUUGCAACCAGACUUGCGCGUUGCCGAUCAUCUGGGGUUCUCCCCAGUGCACUCGGUUUCGCUCAGGCCAGCAUCGGUUUUGGUGGUUGGAUAAAGGCCUUGGGAAUGUAGCUUCUUUCGGGGAGUGUUAUAGCCCUCGGUGCAAUGCAGCCUACCGGGACCGAGGACCGCGCUUCGGCUAGGAUGCUGGCGUAAUGGUUGUAAGCGACCCGUCUUGAAAC